AUUGAACGCUGGCGGCAUGCUUUACACAUGCAAGUCGAACGGUAACAGGUUAAGCUGACGAGUGGCGAACGGGUGAGUAAUGCAUCGGAACGUGCCCGAUCGUGGGGGAUAACGCAGCGAAAGCUGCGCUAAUACCGCAUACGAUCUGAGGAUGAAAGCGGGGGACCGUAAGGCCUCGCGCGAUCGGAGCGGCCGAUGUCAGAUUAGGUAGUUGGUGGGGUAAAGGCUCACCAAGCCGACGAUCUGUAGCUGGUCUGAGAGGACGACCAGCCACACUGGGACUGAGACACGGCCCAGACUCCUACGGGAGGCAGCAGUGGGGAAUUUUGGACAAUGGGCGCAAGCCUGAUCCAGCAAUGCCGCGUGCAGGAAGAAGGCCUUUGGGUUGUAAACUGCUUUUGUACGGAGCGAAAAGGCUCUCUCUAAUACAGGGGGCUCAUGACGGUACCGUAAGAAUAAGCACCGGCUAACUACGUG
This 477-nucleotide ribosomal RNA is filed under the name uncultured bacterium. RNAcentral's name for it is "partial 16S ribosomal RNA". It matches the Rfam family "Bacterial small subunit ribosomal RNA", at positions 30 to 507 of the family's 1533-position model. The record is from RNAcentral.